RNAcentral lists this ribosomal RNA (497 nucleotides) under uncultured bacterium. RNAcentral's name for it is "partial 16S ribosomal RNA". It matches the Rfam family "Bacterial small subunit ribosomal RNA", at positions 28 to 507 of the family's 1533-position model. The record is from RNAcentral.
GACGAACGCUGGCGGCGUGCCUAAUACAUGCAAGUCGAGCGAUGAAGAUUGGUGCUUGCUCCAAUUUGAAGAGCAGCGAACGGGUGAGUAACGCGUGGGUAACCUGCCUUUAAGCGGGGGACAACAUUGGGAAACGAAGGCUAAUACCGCAUAACAUCUUUAACCAUAAGUUUUAAUUUUGAAAGAUGCAUUUGCUUCCCCUAAUAAUGAUCUCGCGGUGUAUUAGCUUGUUUGUGAGGUAAAGGCCCAACAAGGGGAUGGAACAGAACCCACCUGAGAGGGUGGUCGGCCACAAUGGGACUGAGACACGGCCCAAACGCCUAAGGGGGGGAGCAGUAGGGAAUCUUCGGGAAUGGGCGAAAGGCUGACCGAGCAACGCCGCGGGAGUGGAGAAGGGUCUCGGGUCGGAAAACUCUGUUGGUAGAGAAGAACGUUGGUGAGAGUGGAAAGCUCAUCAAGUGACGGUAACUACUCAGAAAGGGACGGCUAACUACGUG